This 40-nucleotide transfer RNA is filed under the name Lachnaea laniflora. Its description in RNAcentral is "partial transfer RNA-Phe". The record is from RNAcentral. Lineage: Eukaryota; Viridiplantae; Streptophyta; Magnoliopsida; Malvales; Thymelaeaceae.
CGGGAUAGCUCANCUGGUAAAGCANAGGACUGAAAAUCCU